AACAACAGACCUAGAGCAACAGACCUAGACCCAGAGCAACAGACCUAGAGCAACAGACCCAGAGCAACAGACCCAGAGCAACAGACCCAGAGCAACAGACCUAGAGCAACAGACCCAGACCAACAGACCCAGAGCAACAGACCUAGAGCAACAGACCCAGAGCAACAGACCUAGAGCAACCGACCUAGAACAACAGACCUAGAGCAACAGACCUAGAGCAACAGACCUAGACCGAGGGCAACAGACCUAGACCUAGAGCAACAGACCUAUAGCAACAGACCUAGAGCAACAGACCUAGAGCAACAGACCUAGAGCAACAGACCUAGACCUAGAGCAACAGACCUAUAGCAACAGACCUAGAGCAACAUACCUAGAGCAACAGACCUAGACCUAGAGCAACAGACCUAUAGCAACAGACCUAGAGCAACAUACCUAGACCUAGAGCAACAGACCUAUAGUAACAGCCCCAGAGCAACAGCCCCAGAGCAACAGACCUAGAGCAACCGACCUAGAACAGACCUAGAGCAACAGACCUAGACCUAGAGCAACAGACCUAGACCUAGAGCAACAGACCUAUAGCAACAGACCUAGAGCAACAUACCUAGACCUAGAGCAACAGACCUAUAGCAACAGCCCCAGAGCAACAGCCCCAGAGCAAAAGACCUAGACCUAGAGCAACAGACCUAGAGCAACAGACCUAGAGCAACAUACCUAGACCGAGAGCAACAGACCUAGAGCAACAGACCUAGACAUAGAGCACCAGACCCAGAGCAACAGACCUAGAGCAACAUACCUAGACCCAGAGCAACAGACCCAGAACAACAGACCUAGACCCAGAGCAUUUCACCUUUAUUUAACCAGGUAGGCCAGUUGAGAACAAGAUCUCAUUUACAAUAACGACCUGGCCAAGAUAAAGCAAAGCAGUUCGACACAAACAACAACACAGAGUUACACAUACAGUCAAUAAUACAGUAGAAACAAGUAGUGAAGCUAGGCCUAUUGAAACAGACCUAUAACAGCAGUACUAUGUCUGGGGAGGAUGUCUAGGCCUAUAACAGCAGCACUAUGUCUGGGGAGGAUGUCUAGGCCUAGAGCAGUAGUACUAUGUCUGGGGAGGAUGUCUAGGCCUAGAGCAGCAGUACUAUGUCUGGGGAGGAUGUCUAGGCCUAUAGAGCAGCAGCACUAUGUCUGGGGAGGAUGUCUAGGCCUAGAGCAGUAGUACUAUGUCUGGGGAGGAUGUCUAGGCCUAGAGCAGUAGUACUAUGUCUGGGGAGGAUGUCUAGGCCUAGAGCAGCAGUACUAUGUCUGGGGAGGAUGUCUAGGCCUAUAACAGCAGUACUAUGUCUGGGGAGGAUGUCUAGGCCUAGAGCAGCAGCACUAUGUCUGGGGAGGAUGUCUAGGCCUAUUGAAACAGACCUAUAACAGCAGUACUAUGUCUGGGGAGGAUGUCUAGGCCUAGAGCAGCAGCACUAUGUCUGGGGAGGAUGUCUAGGCCUAGAGCAGCAGCACUAUGUCUGGGGAGGAUGUCUAGGCCUAGAGCAGCAGCACUAUGUCUGGGGAGGAUGUCUAGGCCUAGAGCAGCAGCACUAUGUCUGGGGAGGAUGUCUAGGCCUAGAGCAGCAGUACUAUGUCUGGGGAGGAUGUCUAGG
This is a long non-coding RNA of Oncorhynchus keta (chum salmon), 1649 nucleotides long. RefSeq lists it as uncharacterized. The record is from RefSeq and is a predicted model, not a curated record. Lineage: Eukaryota; Metazoa; Chordata; Actinopteri; Salmoniformes; Salmonidae. The transcript is spliced from 2 exons.